Poeciliopsis prolifica (blackstripe livebearer) is the source of this 461-nucleotide long non-coding RNA. RefSeq lists it as uncharacterized. The transcript is spliced from 3 exons. NCBI's taxonomy places the organism in Eukaryota, Metazoa, Chordata, Actinopteri, Cyprinodontiformes, Poeciliidae. The record is from RefSeq and is a predicted model, not a curated record.
AUGAGCAUUUCAUAAUAGAGAUACUAUGUGCUCGAAACAAGGUAGAAAAUAGUUUAAUCUCUAGCGGAAUUUGAUCAAUAUGUUUUGAAACAGUUGAGAAUAAACAAGUUUUCAUGUUUUUUUCAACUUUGCAUUGAGGCCAAUCUCUAAAUAUCACACAGUUUUACCACUCUUGCAGUCUCAAUGCAGUAAGGAAGACAAGAUGAUCCACUUGAACGACUGUCGCUUCAAAAAGAUCAUCAAGAAAACUUUGGAAACCAAAGGAAUUUUCUGUCCUUUCAAAUGAGACAUUUGUGCUGACCACAUCUGACAGAAUAAUAGUGGAUGCUGAUAAAUUUGAAAAACUGAAAGAUGGCACCACCCUCUAUCUGCUGCAAAAAACGGACCAAGCCCUGCCAGCUUCAACUGAGGAAGAGAUAAACUUUGUUCCUCACUACAACACACUUAUUGAAAGUGGGGCA